Molecule: non-coding RNA, 783 nt
Organism: Salvelinus namaycush (lake trout)
Lineage: Eukaryota; Metazoa; Chordata; Actinopteri; Salmoniformes; Salmonidae
Source: the annotation of a RefSeq genome assembly
AUGCAUGACUGGUUCAAUGAGCUAAACACAAGCCUCCAGGGCAAGGAAUCAACCAUUUUGGAGAUUGAAGAUGGCAUCAGAGGAUUCACUGCAUGCCUGGGAUUGUGGCAGUCACAGCUGAAGGCUGGCGCAUAUGGCAUGUUCCCUGUUCUGUCAGCUCACAUACAGUGCACUGUGUGUGAAGGUGCUCACUCUUGUGUGAAGGAGGUUUUUGUACAGAGACUUCACCAGAAUGAAUCACUGUGGUACACUUUUGGAAGCGGCACAAAACUGUUGCUGAAAACUGGUCCCUCUGUCAGGCCCACAGUGUCUCUGCUCCCCCCGUCCUCUGAGCAGCUCUCCGGGGGCUCGGCCACACUGGCCUGCCUGCUGAGUGACUACUCCCCCCAGGGGGCGAUGGUGAGCUGGGAGGUAGACGGGGCGGAUGUGAAGGAGGAGGUCCUGACCACCACAGAAGAAGAGAAGGGUGGCCGCUACAGUCGCAGCAGCACCCUGACCCUGAGCAAGGCACGCUGGGAAGAGGGAGAGGUCUACACCUGCAGGGUCGCCCACGACGACACCAGUGACUCGGCCGCCUUCCGGAAAAGUCACUGUAGUGUCUAGAAGCCAUUGUAGGGGGGUAGAGAGUCCCCACAUGGUGCAAGUGAAGGAAACAUGAGUGUUUUAGAGCUGAAGGUUACAGUAUAAUAGUGAAUAAUAUCAGUAGUGCUGUGUGAUAAACUAUUUUGAGAUUUAGUUGUACAUGUCGUCUUGCCUCUGAGUUCAAAUAAAGCUUGUUUUGAU